CCGAUGGUACUGCGACCGGGAGGUCGUGGGAGAGUAGGACGCCGCCGGAC
RNAcentral lists this ribosomal RNA (50 nucleotides) under Kribbella soli. The record is from RNAcentral. Lineage: Bacteria; Bacillati; Actinomycetota; Actinomycetes; Propionibacteriales; Kribbellaceae. RNAcentral also lists the same sequence under 1 other name.